RNAcentral lists this ribosomal RNA (1020 nucleotides) under Septoriella hirta. RNAcentral's name for it is "SSU rRNA". It matches the Rfam family "Eukaryotic small subunit ribosomal RNA", at positions 75 to 1105 of the family's 1831-position model. Lineage: Eukaryota; Fungi; Ascomycota; Dothideomycetes; Pleosporales; Phaeosphaeriaceae. The record is from RNAcentral.
UAUACCGUGAAACUGCGAAUGGCUCAUUAAAUCAGUUAUCGUUUAUUUGAUAGUACCUUACUACUUGGAUAACCGUGGUAAUUCUAGAGCUAAUACAUGCUAAAAACCCCAACUUCGGGAGGGGUGUAUUUAUUAGAUAAAAAACCAACGCCCUUCGGGGCUUCUUGGUGAUUCAUGAUAACUUUACGGAUCGCAUGGCCUUGCGCCGGCGACGGUUCAUUCAAAUUUCUGCCCUAUCAACUUUCGAUGGUAAGGUAUUGGCUUACCAUGGUUUCAACGGGUAACGGGGAAUUAGGGUUCGAUUCCGGAGAGGGAGCCUGAGAAACGGCUACCACAUCCAAGGAAGGCAGCAGGCGCGCAAAUUACCCAAUCCCGACACGGGGAGGUAGUGACAAUAAAUACUGAUACAGGGCUCUUUUGGGUCUUGUAAUUGGAAUGAGUACAAUUUAAACCUCUUAACGAGGAACAAUUGGAGGGCAAGUCUGGUGCCAGCAGCCGCGGUAAUUCCAGCUCCAAUAGCGUAUAUUAAAGUUGUUGCAGUUAAAAAGCUCGUAGUUGAAACUUGGGUCUGGCUGGCAGGUCCGCCUCACCGCGUGUACUUGUCCGGCCGGGCCUUCCUUCUGGAGAACCUCAUGCCCUUCACUGGGCGUGUUGGGGACCAGGACUUUUACUUUGAAAAAAUUAGAGUGUUCAAAGCAGGCCUUUGCUCGAAUACGUUAGCAUGGAAUAAUAGAAUAGGACGUGCGGUCCUAUUUUGUUGGUUUCUAGGACCGCCGUAAUGAUUAAUAGGGACAGUCGGGGGCAUCAGUAUUCAAUUGUCAGAGGUGAAAUUCUUGGAUUUAUUGAAGACUAACUACUGCGAAAGCAUUUGCCAAGGAUGUUUUCAUUAAUCAGUGAACGAAAGUUAGGGGAUCGAAGACGAUCAGAUACCGUCGUAGUCUUAACCGUAAACUAUGCCGACUAGGGAUCGGGCGAUGUUCUUUUUCUGACUCGCUCGGCACCUUACGAGAAAUCAAAGUU